RNAcentral lists this ribosomal RNA (450 nucleotides) under uncultured bacterium. RNAcentral describes it as "bacterial SSU rRNA". It matches the Rfam family "Bacterial small subunit ribosomal RNA", at positions 64 to 507 of the family's 1533-position model. The record is from RNAcentral.
GAGCGGUAACAGGUGUAGCAAUACAUGCUGACGAGCGGCGAACGAGUGAGUAAUGCUUCGGAAUCUGCCCAAUGGUGGGGAAUAACCAGCCGAAAGGUUGGCUAAUACCGCAUAAGUCCUACGGGGGAAAGCAGGGGAUCGCAAGACCUUGCGCCGAUGGAUGAGCCGAAGUCGGAUUAGCUAGUUGGUAGGGUAACGGCCUACCAAGGCGACGAUCCGUAGCUGGUCUGAGAGGACGACCAGCCACACUGGGACUGAGACACGGCCCAGACUCCUACGGGAGGCAGCAGUGGGGAAUAUUGGACAAUGGGGGAAACCCUGAUCCAGCGACGCCGCGUGUGUGAAGAAGGCCUGCGGGUUGUAAAGCACUUUUAGUGGGGAUGAAAAGCUCAGGGCUAAUACCUCUGGGUCUUGACCUAACCCAAAGAAAAAGCACCGGCUAACUCUGUG